Molecule: long non-coding RNA, 495 nt
Organism: Juglans microcarpa x Juglans regia
Lineage: Eukaryota; Viridiplantae; Streptophyta; Magnoliopsida; Fagales; Juglandaceae
Exons: 3
Source: RefSeq, a predicted model, not a curated record
UCUGCAAUCCCCUGAUCUACUGAACACUGGUUCGCCAAAGCCCACUGCUACCUGCGAUGCGGAUAAAUGUGCUGGUUUCAUUGUCAAAGGCGAGGCCUUGGUGUCGUCGUUGUCUUUAGGUGGAGCUGCCAUGGAUGCUGAUAAAUCAAAGGUGGCCGGCACUGCACUACGUUGGAAGAAGCUCACGGCGAAUAUUCAGCGAGAGAUAAGCUCUCAGAUGUGAAAUUUCGUUCACCAACUAGCAUACCAUGGAUAGUCUUGGAGUACCAGAGUUGAUCUCUCUAUUCAUGCACAAGCAUCAAUCUGUGUAAGCCGAAAUAUGAGAUGGUGGGAGAAGAACCAAAAAGAAAAGAAGAAAAAAGAGUAAGAAGACACAGAAGAAAAGAAAGAAAAAAAAGUUGCUUUCGGUGGAGACAGAUGGAAGAUGAUUGAGUUAAUGGAAAACCUCUUUCGGUGGUCUCGGCAAUUUCUGUGGGUAGUUAAGUGGUGGUCGGC